RNAcentral lists this ribosomal RNA (417 nucleotides) under uncultured Gammaproteobacteria bacterium. RNAcentral describes it as "bacterial SSU rRNA". It matches the Rfam family "Bacterial small subunit ribosomal RNA", at positions 370 to 779 of the family's 1533-position model. Lineage: Bacteria; Pseudomonadati; Pseudomonadota; Gammaproteobacteria. The record is from RNAcentral.
AAUGGGCGAAAGCCUGAUGCAGCCAUGCCGCGUGUAUGAAGAAGGCCUUCGGGUUGUAAAGUACUUUCAGUUGUGAGGAAGGGGGUAACGUUAAUAGCGUUAUCUCUUGACGUUAGCAACAGAAGAAGCACCGGCUAACUCCGUGCCAGCAGCCGCGGUAAUACGGAGGGUGCGAGCGUUAAUCGGAAUUACUGGGCGUAAAGCGCAUGCAGGUGGUUCAUUAAGUCAGAUGUGAAAGCCCGGGGCUCAACCUCGGAACUGCAUUUGAAACUGGUGAACUAGAGUACUGUAGAGGGGGGUAGAAUUUCAGGUGUAGCGGUGAAAUGCGUAGAGAUCUGAAGGAAUACCAGUGGCGAAGGCGGCCCCCUGGACAGAUACUGACACUCAGAUGCGAAAGCGUGGGGAGCAAACGGGAUU